AGUGUGCUGGUCGGCUGGCCUUUAGAAGAGUUUAUAUAUGUCUUGAGGUGCUGUCUUAGAGUUUCAAGAAGCUGCCCACGUGAGUCUUGAGUGGCUGCCCAUGCUGCCCAAGUGCUUCCAUGCCGUCCAUGCACACAUGUGAAGAGGUUGGACGUGUGGCUUGUCUUCAAUUGAAAGGAGUGGGUCUUUUGGUCUUUGCUUGCUGCCC
RNAcentral lists this long non-coding RNA (208 nucleotides) under Manihot esculenta (cassava). Its description in RNAcentral is "long non-coding RNA (MESC_LNC009610)". The record is from RNAcentral. Lineage: Eukaryota; Viridiplantae; Streptophyta; Magnoliopsida; Malpighiales; Euphorbiaceae.